GUCUAAAAAAUAAAAAUUGAAUCACACGAAGUAAAAAUUAUGUAAUACCUCAGCGUAGGUGAACGUUUAUUGUUUUAUCGUUAUACAUUUAAAUGCUAUGAUAAAUCAUCGAAAAGAUAAUUCUAAAGAAAUUGAUCUACUAGUUGUGUCCAUUAAAUGCAUGGACCUAAAAACGUUGCAAUUCAAAUACAAACAACAUUCCAGGUUUCGAGUCUACCAGGAAUUUGACAUUGAUUGAAGUGGACACGACUACCUAGUUAAAGAUGAUUCAUUGUGAAAAUACGGUAUUUUUGAAAUGGGUUUAUUGAGUGGAUCGUUUUACUGUGAUAUUUGUGCAUCAUAUCCACAAGACUAUCACCUAUAAUUCCAAAUGAAUAUCCGUAAAAUUGGUUUUUAAUCUUUAGACGAAAUGGACACUUAAAAUUGACACCGUCAAAAUAAAAUAUAAAGAGAAUAACAAAUAUAUAUAUUUUUAUGAGUGGCCGUCAUGUUACAUUUUGUCAAGCAAAUUAUUAUUAUGUUAAACAAUCGAUAUACGAAAUAAAAGAUAAAAAAAUACAUUACGAAUGUGAAAGGUGUAAUUUGCGAGCUUACUUUUUUUUUUAAGUUAGCGAAACCGUCUCGACGACCUGCCUAUUGGAAGAGUCAUUUACUUUCAUAUUUAUAAUGGGUAUUUUUCAUCUGAGACCAAACGUGAAGGAUAUUUCUUGAAAAUAUAGUUUUAA
Myzus persicae (green peach aphid) is the source of this 725-nucleotide long non-coding RNA. RefSeq lists it as uncharacterized. The record is from RefSeq and is a predicted model, not a curated record. The transcript is spliced from 3 exons. Lineage: Eukaryota; Metazoa; Arthropoda; Insecta; Hemiptera; Aphididae.